GGGACACGUGGUAUCCUGUCUGAAUAUGGGGGGACCAUCCUCCAAGGCUAAAUACUCCUGACUGACCGAUAGUGAACCAGUACCGUGAGGGAAAGGCGAAAAGAACCCCGGCGAGGGGAGUGAAAAAGAACCUGAAACCGUGUACGUACAAGCAGUGGGAGCACGCUUAGGCGUGUGACUGCGUACCUUUUGUAUAAUGGGUCAGCGACUUAUAUUCUGUAGCAAGGUUAACCGAAUAGGGGAGCCGAAGGGAAACCGAGUCUUAACUGGGCGUUAAGUUGCAGGGUAUAGACCCGAAACCCGGUGAUCUAGCCAUGGGCAGGUUGAAGGUUGGGUAACACUAACUGGAGGACCGAACCGACUAAUGUUGAAAAAUUAGCGGAUGACUUGUGGCUGGGGGUGAAAGGCCAAUCAAACCGGGAGAUAGCUGGUUCUCCCCGAAAGCUAUUUAGGUAGCGCCUCGUGAAUUCAUCUCCGGGGGUAGAGCACUGUUUCGGCAAGGGGGUCAUCCCGACUUACCAACCCGAUGCAAACUGCGAAUACCGGAGAAUGUUAUCACGGGAGACACACGGCGGGUGCUAACGUCCGUCGUGAAGAGGGAAACAACCCAGACCGCCAGCUAAGGUCCCAAAGUCAUGGUUAAGUGGGAAACGAUGUGGGAAGGCCCAGACAGCCAGGAUGUUGGCUUAGAAGCAGCCAUCAUUUAAAGAAAGCGUAAUAGCUCACUGGUCGAGUCGGCCUGCGCGGAAGAUGUAACGGGGCUAAACCAUGCAC
RNAcentral lists this ribosomal RNA (774 nucleotides) under Escherichia coli. Its description in RNAcentral is "bacterial LSU rRNA". It matches the Rfam family "Bacterial large subunit ribosomal RNA", at positions 419 to 1194 of the family's 2925-position model. The record is from RNAcentral. Lineage: Bacteria; Pseudomonadati; Pseudomonadota; Gammaproteobacteria; Enterobacterales; Enterobacteriaceae. RNAcentral also lists the same sequence under 3 other names.